Molecule: ribosomal RNA, 200 nt
Filed under: uncultured bacterium
Lineage: Bacteria
Description: partial 16S ribosomal RNA
Rfam family: Bacterial small subunit ribosomal RNA
Source: RNAcentral
AGAGUUUGAUCAUGGCUCAGGACGAACGCUGGCGGCGUGCUUAACACAUGCAAGUCGAACGGAAAGGCCCCUUUGGGGGUGCUCGAGUGGCGAACGGGUGAGUAACACGUGGGUGAUCUGCCCUGCACUUUGGGAUAAGCCUGGGAAACUGGGUCUAAUACCGGAUAGGACUCCGAGAUGCAUGUCUUGGGGUGGAAAGC